This 869-nucleotide long non-coding RNA is filed under the name Papio anubis (olive baboon). RNAcentral describes it as "lncRNA (ENSPANG00000044827.1)". The record is from RNAcentral. Lineage: Eukaryota; Metazoa; Chordata; Mammalia; Primates; Cercopithecidae.
AGCAUCCAUUCUUUUGUAUCUUGUCUUAUAUGACAGGAAAACACACCAAUAUAUCUUUUCUCCUCAGUUCAUCACAGGUUUUGACAACAGGAGUGUGAGCAAUGACAAAAAGGCCCGGAGAUUAAAAAGAUGCCUCUGCUGCUCCACAACAUGUCUCAGAAUCUCCUUUCUUGAAAUCACAGAGCUUGUAGUCUGGUCUAGUCUAAGACAAGAAAAUAAUCAACUAUAAUAGAAUUGUAUAAGCACCAUAGUAACACAAGAAGAAGAUGCUUUUGGAACGUGUAGAGGAGAUAUCUACGUACAUUAUGUGGGAGUGAAGAAAUCUGUGCUGAUGGAACAUACACCUGAGGGGCUCUCAGCUGACUGAAAAGGAAAGGAUGGCUUAGUAUGUGGAUAAGCCAAAAAACAACUGUUCCAAAACAUCCCCACACAAGGAUAGGUUUGAAAGACAGCAAUUUGGAAAGAUCACUGAUAUGGGCAAAGUUUUACACAGAGUGGAAAGAGAAGUGGCCAAUGACACGCAGCAUAAUAACAUGAAAUGCGCUGAAGAAUAUUUUUGGUGCGACAUAUGAGUGAGGAGAAAUGAACAUGGUGCAGAGAUAAAAACGAAGCAAUGGGAUUUCUUGAAGAUUUUGGAAGUCAUGGCAAAUACAUGAGGAGAAUAAAUGUAAGAUAAAUGGCUUGUCAAAGAGGGAUUAAAUAAAAAUAGUAACACUGAAUAGUAAUUUUAAAAAUGUUAAUUUCCAUUUUUUUUGAAUAGGGAAAACACCUGAUUCAAAAUUUAACAGACACAAAAGUAUAUACAUAUGUAAUUCUCCCUUUAAGUCCCUCCAUUGCUCUGUGCAGGGGCAGCUGCUGUCACUUUUUAC